This is a long non-coding RNA of Cyprinus carpio carpio, 2715 nucleotides long. NCBI's taxonomy places the organism in Eukaryota, Metazoa, Chordata, Actinopteri, Cypriniformes, Cyprinidae. The record is from Ensembl.
AUGACUCUCCAGAACUGCCUGCUGCACAGAUAUGGACUGUAUUACUUCUUGGCAUUGCUGACACUUCUCAUGUCACAUGCUGACGGGCUGCAAUGUUAUGCCUGUAACAUCGUGCAUAACCAGCGGUAUGUGGACGUAGGCUGUUCCAACCCCGAAGUCAUCACCUGCUCCCACUCCCACAAGGGCUUCAAGCAUCGCUUCUGCAUCAGAACCGAAAGUGUUGCAUUGGGAGUCAUGCUGACUAGUGGCUGCGCGACAGCACGACACUGCCACACGCAGGAGCUGCCGGGAGUCAACAUCCACUGCUGCAACUCUGAUCUGUGCAACAGCGCCACCCGCUGGCGGACGACCACCCUGCUGCCUAUUUGCUCAUUGACGUUUUCUCUAUUGUUUCAAGGGCUGAUACUGUGGACGAAGUAACUUUGAAAUUUGAACGUCACGACAAAAACACGGCAGCUACGCUUCCGACGCAUGACAUACAGGAUGAAACUUGAAAAUAUAACUAUAAAAGAUGUGAGCGCAGACCCUGGAGUAUUAGGCCUAGGUCUAUGUUUGGAUAAACCAAUUCUUCACGUAGCCUAGUAUUGUUCUCUUUGGAUAAUUAGGCAAGGCAAGUUUAUUUAUAUAGCAUUUAUAUAGUUUAUAAUUAGCUAAAUCAUUCCCCCCCAAAAAAGGACUUUUAUAUGGACAACAGAAUUUUUUUUUUUUUUUUGUAACUAUUUGUUUUAUUUUGAAGCAUUUUGCUCAGCCAAAAAUGAGAAAUGAUGCUCUUUACAAUAUGUGUGAAAAAAAUGUGUUCAGGAAUUGUAUCCUAUUUAAGGCCCAAAUGUUCUCAAAAAAGUGGUAAUGGAAAUUAUACUGACCUUUUUAUUGUUGUGAGUAUUAUUAUUUAGAUAUUUUCAUACAUAUUUUUGUAAUUUCUUUUAACCAACUGAUCUCAAGCUGAUUUUAAGUGCAUGUGCUUAUGAAGUCUGUCACUCAAGUUCAAACGUCCUAGCAAGAGUAAUCACAGGUUUAGAUUAGCACAUUAUUUUUGAACAUAAUGCACGUUUGACAAUCAAGAAAGUGUUGAAAUACUUAUUGUAUUAGUUUUAAUAUUCAUAUAGGCCUAGGCUAAGGCCUCUAAUGUGCCCCACUACAAGAGUUUUUGUUUAAAAAUUCAUACAAUUUUUCAUUACUGAACAAGUACAUUAAAAUGUUGUUGUCUUACCUCAAAUCCUUACCCCCCCAUUUUUGAUGAAUAGACUUGCUACAUCAUAUCCAUAAAGGUCUGGUUAUUGAGUGAGUGGGUGCUUAGUUUGUAACUGAAAUCUUCAGCUAGCAUUUACAUUGGCAGUUCAAAACAACAAAUCCUUCUUAACCACUGACGAACAACCAGUUGUCAAACAAAUUCCAGAAACUUCAAACUCCAAAAAGUCUGCAAUCAAGAAGGGGAAUGUAGAUCCAGUGCCAAACAGGAUCUGAAACACAGAGGCAGAUAUUAAACUUUAUUUAUGAUUUGAUGUUCUUUCGUCAGCUGUGUUUCAGCACAGCACAUCUGAUGGUAGAACUUCAAAUCGUAUACAGUAUAAAGUUUAAUAUCUGCCUUGGUGUUUCCAUGCAUCUGUGUAAGAUGCUAUUCCUCAAGAAUUAGCAAUUUUAUGUUUCAAAAAGAGAUGCAGAUAGAGAGGUUCUAAAUAGAGCUCAGAGCUCCAGGAGAUGGCAGUGUUUCACAAUCUCUUGACACAGGCAUAAAUGUUCGACCUGACAGAAUCUCUGACACAGCAGAGAUCUUGCAGUGCUCAGUCCACUGUGUUCAUUGUAAUUAGAGCCAUGAAACAUGCCUGACUAGUGCAGUAUUUUAUUAGGAUUCAUUCUUUGCUAGAAAUCAUGUUUAUAAUAUGUACAGCAAUACUUCAUGUGGUUCCUUUGAAGAGGCGACGGAUUCAGAGAACCUUUUAAGAGCAAUGGCCUGUCUUAUGGUGAAAGCUCUUAUGAAAAUAAACGGGAAGAGAUCCGCAGAGGCUCAUGGCUUGUUUUGAUUUGUUUAAUCCAGCCUUUAAGAAAACACAGGCAGUUAGAGCCAUCUCUCACAGAGUGGAGGAAGAAGUGUUUCAUCUUUUAAUGCUUCUCAUGAUUCAUCCAGAAAUUAGCAGAGAGAUUGCAGAGACAGGUUUGAGGGCUGGCGUAUAAAAUGAGGCAGUAAUAUACGCUCCUGCCAGACUCUCAAAACUGUGCACUGUCUCUGAGCUAAUGAGCGCUGAAGCACAAGCUGUACUCACCGUGCAGCACCUGAACUCUCUCCUGUCUUUAACUUCUGCUGUCACAUGCCUCUGACACUGAAAGGACUGCUUUCACAGGCGUUUUGAAAAAUGGUCUGUUGAUUGCAGUGAAUUUGGUGAGACUCUAGAAUCCAUUUGGUGCUUUUGAAUGGAUUUGUUUCAGUUUGUUCAGUAUUUGUCAAUGUCAGACCACAGUUGAAGCCAUGGCAUGAAACUCAUUCACUUGUCAUAAGUCAAUAUUUGUCUAUUUAAAAAACAAAAUGCUUUUUAAAUUAUGAUGCUAUGGUUUUCUGGCUGGUCGCCAGGUCAUUGUUGUGUGAUUGCUAAGGUUUUCUAGGGUGUUUUUUUUUUUUUUUACUGGCCUUAAGCUGUAGUUACACUAGACCACUCAGUGUCUUUUUUAAAAAUAUAUAACAACACGUACAUACGUACAGCACAUUAAAUAUGGUAGAUG